AACAGUAUUGUAAGAUGAGAGAGAAAGCCAAGCCACAAAUAACUGCAACAUUGAGAUUCCUUAAAUCCAGCAGUUAAUAAAGGAAAGAAUAUCCCCAGUGAGAAGUUCGAGACAGAGAAAGCAAAGGAAAUAAGAUGGGUGAACCGCAAAUGGAAAAACGGUUCCAGUGACGCAGGCUGAAAAAGGUGCUCUAGCAUGAAUAGACUGUCUUGAGACCCAGCAAUACCUCCUCAAAAAACCAUUCUUAUGGGACAAAUACCACAUGAAAGCAUUUCUGAUGCUCUUAGUUGUACCACUCAGCAUACAGAUUGGCAGCAUAUCCUGAGUCCAGGUGAAAGAAUCACAGUAUAUCAUUGAAAUGGAGAUGACAGGAAUGAAAGACAAACUAAUGUUCUACUGGGCUCACCACAUGCUAGAUGCUAUAGAAGAGAUUGAUCCCUAACAUCCGAUUCAAUACUUAUUCUUCGCAACUGAUUGCUCUGAAGUUUGGGGGGAUUUUUUUGUGGACUUCAGUAAGCACUGGG
Molecule: long non-coding RNA, 524 nt
Filed under: Crocodylus porosus (Australian saltwater crocodile)
Lineage: Eukaryota; Metazoa; Chordata; Crocodylia; Crocodylidae
Description: lncRNA (ENSCPRG00005015940.1)
Source: RNAcentral